Molecule: ribosomal RNA, 1663 nt
Filed under: Candidatus Nomurabacteria bacterium GW2011_GWF2_40_31
Lineage: Bacteria; Candidatus Nomuraibacteriota
Description: bacterial LSU rRNA
Rfam family: Bacterial large subunit ribosomal RNA
Source: RNAcentral
UUAAGGGCGUACGGUGGAUGCCUUGACUUUAAGAGGCGAUGAAGGACGUGGCGUUGCUGCGAUAAGCUUCGGGGAGACGCAAAGCAGUCUUUGAUCCGGAGAUUUCCGAAUGGGGAAACCCUGUAGAGUAAACCUCUACAACCUUGAGCUUUAUGUUCAAGGAGCAUACCCUGGGAAGUGAAACAUCUCAGUACCAGGAGGAGUAGAGAACAAUAGUUAUUUCCUAAGUAGCGGCGAGCGAAAAGGAAGAAGCCCAAACUCGAGUAGCAAUACUCGGGGGUUGUAAGGUAACAAUUUUUAUUUAUUUAAAGAAGAGUCAAAAAAUAAAUUAUUAGCUUAAGUUCUUGGAAAAGGGCACCAUAGAGGGUGAUAGUCCCGUCUGCGAAAAUAAUUUAUCUCUUUUAUUGUUAUUCUUGAGUACCCCAGGACAUGAAUGGCCGGGGGGAAUCCAGCUCGAUAGUGAACUAGUACCGUGAGGGAAAGGUGAAAAGCAGCCCGAUUAGGGCGGUGAAAUAGACCUGAAACCGUAUGUCUACAAGGAGUCGAACUCCGUCUUCGGAUGGAGAACGGCGUGCCUAUUGAAGAAUGAGCCAACGAGUUUAUGCAUACUGCUAGGUUAAGUUGACUAAAACAACAAAGCCGAAGGGAAACCGAGUGUUAAUAGCGCGACUGUAUAUUUAUUUAUACGGGUAGAAUGCAUAAGACCCGAAGCCAGGUGAGCUUGCCAUGAGCAGGAUGAAGUAGGUCGAAAGACUUAUGGAGGUCCGAACGGGUAGAUCGUACAACGUCUUCCGAUGACUUGUGGUAAGGAGUGAAUAGCUUUAGGGCUAGCGUCGUGUGUUUCUUUUGGGGGUAGAGCACUGGAAGGUUUCGACAGGGAGCAAUCUCGCGAAACCUAUCAAACUCCGAAUACUAGAAGUAAGAACACGGCAGUUAGGCCAUGGGGGCGAAGCUCCAUUGGCCAAAAGGGAAACAGCCCGGAUCUCUAAAUAAGGUCCCUAAAUAUAUACUAAGUGUAAGACAAGAAGGUGAAGUUUCUCAAACAAUGAGGAGGUUGGCUUAGAAGCAGCCACCCUUUAAAGAUAGCGUAACAGCUCACUCAUCUAGAGAUUUUGCGUCGAAAAUAAUUGGGGCUAAGUAUAUUACCGAAUUUGAGGAUUUUAAUCCCCUUAGGGGGCCUAAAGUGGUAGGAGAGUGUUCCAAUCCGCAGUGAAGGAGGACCCGUGAGGGCCUCUGGAGCGUUUGGAAGUAAGAACGCAUCACGUCGAAAGAUCAAGGUUUCCUUGGUAAUGUCAAUCAGCCAAGGGUUAGUCGGGCCUAAGGGAAUGGCGAAAGCCGUACUCGAUGGACAGCGGGUUAAUAUUCCCGCACUUCUGUAUUUUGUGAUGGGAUGACGGAGUGUAGUAUGUAUCGCUCAUUAUUGGAUUUGAAGUUUGUGUAUUUAGGAUGAUGUGUAGGAAAAUCCGCACGCUGCCUUUAAUGGCGAAUCCAAGAUAUAUGAAAAAUUUUAUUCUUCGGGAUAGGACAAUGAUACAAAGCACGCUUCCAAGAAAAAUCUCCUAAACUUAUGAAUAUAGAAUCCGUACCGCAAACCGACACAGGUGAUCAGGUCGAGUAGACCAAGACGAACGAGUGAGUGGUCCCCAAGGAACUCGGCAAAAAA